RNAcentral lists this non-coding RNA (86 nucleotides) under Anaerovirgula multivorans. RNAcentral describes it as "c-di-GMP-I riboswitch aptamer". It matches the Rfam family "c-di-GMP-I riboswitch aptamer". From Rfam's summary of the family: GEMM was predicted in a large-scale screen for bacterial structured RNA regulatory elements. The record is from Rfam by way of RNAcentral. Lineage: Bacteria; Bacillati; Bacillota; Clostridia; Peptostreptococcales; Natronincolaceae.
AUAUGUUAAGGGCAAACUUGCCGAAAGGCAAGGACGCAAAGCAAUAGGGUCUAAGGUGCAGAUGCAUGAUGAAGCGGGCAUCUAUC